RNAcentral lists this ribosomal RNA (483 nucleotides) under uncultured bacterium. RNAcentral describes it as "partial 16S ribosomal RNA". It matches the Rfam family "Bacterial small subunit ribosomal RNA", at positions 30 to 506 of the family's 1533-position model. The record is from RNAcentral.
AUUGAACGCUGGCGGCAGGCCUAACACAUGCAAGUCGAGCGGAUGAAGGGAGCUUGCUCCUGGAUUCAGCGGCGGACGGGUGAGUAAUGCCUAGGAAUCUGCCUGGUAGUGGGGGAUAACGUCCGGACACGGGCGCUAAUAUCGCAUACGUCCUGAGGGAGAAAGUGGGGGAUCUUCGGACCUCACGCUAUCAGAUGAGCCUAGGUCGGAUUAGCUAGUUGGUGGGGUAAAGGCCUACCAAGGCGACGAUCCGUAACUGGUCUGAGAGGAUGAUCAGUCAAACUGGAACUGAGACACGGUCCAGACUCCAACGGGAGGCAGCAGUGGGGAAUAUUGGACAAUGGGCGAAAGCCUGAUCCAGCCAUGCGGGGGGGGUGAAGAAGGUCUUCGGAUGGUAAAGCACUUUAAGGGGGGAGGAAGGGCAGUAAGUUAAUACCUUGCUGUUUGGACGUUACCAACAGAAUAAGCACCGGCUAACUUCGU